RNAcentral lists this ribosomal RNA (253 nucleotides) under uncultured bacterium. RNAcentral's name for it is "partial 16S ribosomal RNA". It matches the Rfam family "Bacterial small subunit ribosomal RNA", at positions 524 to 776 of the family's 1533-position model. The record is from RNAcentral.
UACAGAGGGGGCAAGCGUUGUUCGGAAUUACUGGGCGUAAAGGGCGCGUAGGCGGCCUGCUAAGUCGAACGUGAAAUCCCCGAGCUCAACUCGGGAACUGCGUCCGAUACUGGCAGGCUUGAAUCCGGGAGAGGGAUGCGGAAUUCCAGGUGUAGCGGUGAAAUGCGUAGAUAUCUGGAGGAACACCGGUGGCGAAGGCGGCAUCCUGGGCCGACACUGACGCUGAGGAGCGAAAGCUAGGGGAGCAAACGGG